UUGUACAAAGGUUAAAAAGCAACUACAAAUGAACCUUGCUGUAAUAUGCUUGCUUGUAAUCCUUGGGAUUUCUGAACCUAAGUUUCUGCUCUACAUGACCUUUUUUCUUUUCUCCAUUCAACCGGAACACCAGUAAUCUAUCAUAGUAUUCAAUGACAAUACGCCAAACUUUAACAACCUAGAAAUAAAUUCCAAGCAGCUCACCUAAAUUAAUUAGAAUCCAACAGCACACGAACAUACUUUGUUCCUCCUAUCACCAUUUGAGUAUUCAACUGAUACUCUAAAGUGCAAUGUCCUUACUCAAGAGUCCUAUAUGUACCUGCAAAGGGCAAAACUCCGCACAAUUCAAACUUCUAAUCAUCCUUGUCUAUAUACCAUUUUUCUGAUUCUAAAUACCAUUUCUUUUUUUGUCCAUCUAUUUCAAUUCAAUACUACUUCUACCAUGAAAUUACUGACAAUACUCGAAAAUUGUAACAAACCAGUAGAUAAAUCCUAAGUAACUCACCUAAACUAAGCAGAAUUCAAAAGAUGCGAUAUUCAGUUCCUUGUGUCACCAUCUGGCCAAUCAAUUAAAUUAGACUGAAUCCAAAAGAUGCGAUAUUUAGUUCCUUGUGUCACCAUCAGGCCAAUCAAUUAAAUCCCAAAGUGCAAUAUCCUUGUUUAUGACUCCUCUAAAUGCCUACAAAGGAACUAACUCUGCACAAUUAACACAGCAAACUUCUAACUAAACAUGGAAAGUUCUGGUUACCUUAAGCCUUGUAGAAUUCUAAAAAAUGUUUCCAAAUGAACCUUGUGGCAAUACUUGUAAUUCUUGGGAUUGCUCAAACAUAUUUUCUUUUCUCCACUUAUUUAACCAGAACACUACUAAUUGAUUAUAAAAUUCAUAGGCAAUACUUCAAAUAUCUAACAACUCAUAAAUAAAUUCCAAGUAAUCAAUUAGUUUGCAACAAGAUGCACAUACACUUUGUUCCUCCCAAAGUGCAACGUCCUUACAUACGAGUCCUAUAUAUACCAGCAAGGGAUAUAAAGUCUAAAAAAUUUCAAACUUAGUGUGUUCUUGCUACUCUUUGCCAUUAACCUUAUAGAAUCGUAAAAACCAACCUAUAAACCUUGGUGCAACAUGCUUUCUUGUAAUUCUUGGGAUUUCCAGAACCUAAGUUUCGGUUUCUAAUUAACCUUUUAUCUUUUCUCCAAAAGCACCACUUAUUAAAGUCAUUGACAACAUUCCAGAUUUUUUACAAACCCAAAUAGAUUCCUAGGAACUCACUGAAAUUAAUUAGAAUCCAAACAAAAUCACAAAAUCCAAUACAAUGUGCAUAUACUCUGUUCCACCCACCACCCAUCAUUUAAAUACUCAAAUCAAACGUCAAGUUGCAACUUCAUUACAUGAGAGUCCUAUAUUUGCCUGCAAAGGACAAAAAUCUGCACAAUUCAUCUAAAUCAUGACAAAACAACCUCCAAAUGAACCUUGGUGCAAUAUGCUCUCUAGUAAUUCUUGUGAUUUGUAGAACCUAAGUUUCAAUUUCUAAUUGACCCCUUUCUUUUCUACAAAACACUACUUAUCUACCAUUAAAAUCAUUGACAAUAUUCCAGAUUUUUAACAAACUCAGAUAGAUUCCAAGCAACUGACCUAGAUUAAUUAUAAUCAGGCAAAAUCUCAAAAUCCAACUUGCAUAGACAUUAUUCCACCUAUCACCCAUUUGAAUACUCAAAUCGAAUGCCAAAGUGCAACAUCAUUAAAUAAAAGUCCUAUAAUUGCCUACAAAGGACAAAACUCUGGCCAAUUUACCGAACUUCUCACUAAGCAUAAUAUGUUUUGUUUACUUAUUGCCUUAAACACUGUAGAAUGAUCAAAAACAACCUUUAAAAUGGACCUCACAACACUGUUCUUUCUUGUAAAUUUGGUUCUAGAAGGUCACUUUCAGAUUCUAAGUACCAAUUUUCUUAUCUCCAUUUAUUGCACCUGCAUACUUCUUGCCUACCACAAAAUCAUUGGUAAUACUCCAGAUUUAACAAAGCCACAGAAAAAUCCAAGUAACUCACCUAAAUUUAGAUAUGCAAUACUUAGUUCCUUGUGUCACCAUCUGGACAUUCAAUUUAAAUCCUAAAGUGCAACAUCCAUGUAUAUAAGUCCUCUAAAUUGCCUGCAAAGGAACCAAACUCUGCAGAACACCCGCAAACUACAAACUAAACUUGAUAUGUUCGGGUUACUCUUUGCCCUGAGCCCUGUAGAAUGGCAGAAACACAACCUCCAAAUAAACUUUGCCGAGAUAUACUCAAUUGUAAUCUUGGGAUUUCUCAAAACUAAGUUUCAUUCCCAAAUAACCUUUUUUUUUCCUUUUCUCUAUUUAUUUAACCAGAACAGUACUAAUUGAUCAUGAAUUUCAUUUGCGAUGCUCCAGAUAUUUACCAACCCACUAACAAAUUUCAAGCCACAAACCUAAAUUAGAACGAAUUCCAAAAGAUGCAAUACUUAGUUCCCCAUGUUACCUUAUGGAAAAUCAAUCUAAAUCCUGAAGUGAAAUGUCCUUGUAUACAAGUCCUCUAAAUGCCAGCGAAGGAACCAAACUCUGCACAACACCAACAAACUUCUAACUGAACUUUGUUUUUUCUAGUUACUCUUUGCCUUAAGAAUUGUAGAAUGGUGAAGAAACAACCUCCAAAAUGCUUUACUGUAAUAUUCUUACUUGUAAAUAAUGGAAUUUCUCAAACCCAUGUUUCUGUUUUACCUAACAUUUCUUCUUUUCUCCAUUUAUCUAACCGGAAUAGAAGCAAUCCAUUGUAAAAUUCGUUGGCAAUACUCCAAAUAUUUGAUAACCCAAAAAUAAAUUCCCUGUAACUCAUUUCAACCAAUUAAGACUAACAAGAUGCAACCUAAACUUUCCUCUUCGUGUCACAGUUUGAAUGUUCAAUUGAUACCUAAAAUGCAAUGUCUUCACAUAAAAGUCCUAUAUACACCUGCAAAGGGCAAAAUUCUAGACAAUUCUAAAUAGUACUUAUCUCAAUAUCAUUUUUUUGGAUUCUAAAAAUCAUUUUUACAUUCUCCAUUUAUUUCACCACAAUUAUACUUGUCUACUAUAAAAUUAAUGACAAUACUCAAUAUACCUAAGAAACACACAGAUAAAUCCCAAGUAACUCACCUAAAUCAGAUGGAAUCCAAAAGAUACAGCCCUUAGUUACUUGUGUCACCAUGUAAACAUUCAAUUUAAUCCUAAAGUGCAAUGUCCUUGUUUAUGAGUUCUCUAAAUGCCCACAAAGUAAUCAAAGUCUGCACGACACCAGCAAACUUCUAAUUAAACUUGGUAUGUUGUAGUUACUCUUUGCCUUAAGCCUUGUACAAAGGUUAAAAAGCAACUACAAAUGAACCUUGCUGUAAUAUGCUUGCUUGUAAUCCUUGGGAUUUCUGAACCUAAGUUUCUGCUCUACAUGACCUUUUUUCUUUUCUCCAUUUGUCAACCGGAACACCAGUAAUCUGUCAUAAUAUUCAAUGGCAAUACGCCAAACUUUAACAACCUAGAAAUAAAUUCCAAGCAGCUCACCUAAAUUAAUUAGAAUCCAACAGCACGCGCACAUACUUUGUUCCUCCUAUCACCAUUUGAGUAUUCAACUGAUACUCUAAAGUGUAAUGUCUUUACACAAAAGUCCUAUAUAUACACCUGCAAAGGGCAAAACUCGGCACAAUUCUUAAUAAUCCUUGUCUAUAUACUAUUUUUCAAGUUCUAAAUACCAUUUCUUUUUGCUUCAGCAAUUUCACCUCAAUACUACGAGUACCAUGAAAUUACUGACAAUACUCGAAAUUUGUAACAAACCAAUAGAGAAAUCCCAAGUAACUCAC
Molecule: long non-coding RNA, 3835 nt
Filed under: Coffea arabica (coffee)
Lineage: Eukaryota; Viridiplantae; Streptophyta; Magnoliopsida; Gentianales; Rubiaceae
Description: long non-coding RNA (CARA_LNC006444)
Source: RNAcentral